GGCGGCAGAGCACGGAACAAAGGAGCCCGCGGGCCGGCUACUGUUUAUCUGCUGUCACUGCCUGCCUAAGGCAGAUACGGGACACCCCCAUAAAGCUGUGUUUGCAUUUCUCCGGCCACUUUGACCCUUUGCUGCAAUCCCGUGUCCUUUGUGUUAUACAAGGGGGUGAGUGACCAGCUUUCGUCAUACUGAUAGAGCGUUUCAGCCGUUCAUGAGGAUUUUGGAGAUAGCGCCUUGGCCGGGGCAGGGAGGCGCCGGGCUCCUGCCAGUAGCAGAAGUUGAGGUGCCUGAGGACAAACCUUGAGAGCGCAAACAGUAACGCUGCCCAAAGUUGUAGGUGGUUGGUACUCACUGGCAGAGCAGAUAAUAAAGCAGAUUCUAAGGCUCUGGGCCAGUAUAUGCUAAAUAAAGCACCCAAAUCAGUCAGUGCUUAUAUUUCUUUCUUAUUCCUUGAGUAUUGAAUAAAAGAUUUAAAAAAACCCCUUAGCAAUACAGACAUGACUUUUUGCUUCUAAUGUUCAAACCACAGCUUCCCCUCUCAUCACAAGGACUCACUUAUUUUUUUUUUGAAUAAAGCAUCUGGCAGAGUAGUUUCUCUAUAAUUUUAAAUCUUAUUACAGGUACUGCAAGACCAGUUUCAUUAGUUCAUAUAAAGUUCUUUGAACAAAAAAGUACUACAGCAAUUAUAACCAUAAGAGAUUCAUUCUCUGGUCUUCAUGUUACUUGGUUCCUCUUGUUUUAGAUGGUGAAGCAUGGUUUUAGUUCACUGUAGUAUAUGCAUCAACUAUUUAUGUCUAACUCAAUAGUUGUUACAAACAGCUUUCUUUCUUUUUUUUUAAUAAUUUCUCUUUAAAACUUCAGAGUGGUGAUGGAGGAUUAAUUUUGGAACAUCCGUUUUGAUUUUUGCCUUUAAACUUGUUUAUAAAGGUGUCAUUGUGUUUAUACAACUAGGCUCCGUAAUGGAUUCAUUUUCCAGAGUAUAAAAUCUUCCAGUGUUCUCAAUGAGUAUGUUUGUUUUCAAGUUAACAUCACAGAGCAGGAGAUAUUACUUGACAAAACAAAUAUAAAAGGCCCUUCAUGAACUCCUCCCAGCUCUGCUUACUCCAGUUACCAGCUGAAUCACUGGCAGAGAGAAUAAUUUAGUGUGCACUUUUGAAAAAAUAUAACAGCAAAUCACUGUCAAUUGUUUUAUUAAAAUAUUUUUAUGUCAAUUUUGUGUUGUGCCUAUUUAUGUGGCAUUUUCCAUUUAAAUUUUUUUUUUCCUGGAACCAGUCUUAUGAAAUAAUGUUUGCCAUUGAUAAUGGCUACCAGCAUUCCUAGAGGUGACUAUGCUUUAACACAAGUAAAGCAAACAAACCUCCCAGCUGGCAGGGAAAGAGGACAAAAUUACUGCAAAAGUUGAGACAGUGUAUCUGCAGAGAACACUAAUCAACUUAAGUAGAAAUACUUUACUUGCUUCCACAUUUCUCAAGUUACUUAUUCCUCUUUGCUUUUCCAAUUAAAAUGCUGUUAUUCAUUCUUUUGUUUAGUCAAGCUGUCUGCUAAAGCAUACAGUGUUGAGUAAUACCUAGGUUCCUUAUAAGUGAAAUAUUAUAGGUUAUCUAAUUGUCUAUUUUUUGCACGUGUGUGUCUGAAAUUUAAUUCUGUGUGCUCACGCGUCAGUGGCACUUCUUUGUUUCCUUUUUAUUAAGGUGUGCAGCUUUUUCUAUCCCUCUCAAUCUUUGCUCACAGAGUUAGGCCAAGCACUGCCAGCAGAAUAAACACUGCUGGAUAAAAGGGAAGGGACUGAAGUGAUAGACAGAGGCAGGGGAUGCCCCACAGCAUCUUUAGAUGCACAGCCCCUCUUCACUAAGAGCAAGAAUUGCUCCAUAACAACCCUUCUACAUCUGAUGGGGAAGGAGCUUUGCACAGGCAGGAGAGCACAGGCUCCCCACUAUGAGCUAGAAUCACUGCAGUGGCUGGGGGAAACAAGAACAGGCAGGGGUGAAGCAAUGGCAGUAAAUCUGCAUUUAUCCUGUUCUGCCCAGAUGCCUUUAGGUAAUUUGUUUCUAACCUAAAAGCACCCUGACUGCAGUCAUUGUCUAAUCAGAUGUGAUAGAGGCUCUCGUGUUUAAACUCGAUUCCCUUUGGUUACUCUCCAUACCCGUGUAACUCAUACAGCUGUUCUGGGAACUGUAAAACAGCCACUUGAAGCUGUUUGCACACUGUAAGCUUUCAUCUUCCUUGUGGUUUGUUCUGCUGUCUUAGAUCCCAAAGAGCAGCUCCUCUGUUAUUUUCUCUGGCACUUGCUGCUUCUCUAUAUUCACUGCAAAUGAUCACAACAGGAGCUGUAACUCCACAGUGCACACAGAAAUAAGAAGUGCUCAAGAAGUCUCUGACUGUACAACUGAAGGGAUAUUCCUUAAAAAAAAUAAAUAAAAGUGAGGUAUUAGUUUUAUCUCAUGCUCCUGGGACUCAGCCAAUGUAAGUGACAAGUAGAAUACUCAAUCAAAGAAGAUUUAAAUUGAUUGCCCAAUACAGGUGGGGCGUGCUGUACCUGGAUUUCACAAGUUUUGUUGGCUUGUGACCUGUAUUCAUCUAGGUGGAAAAUCAGGGGUUUGAUCUACAUUAAGUCUUUCAAGAUGGAAAUCUUCAUGCAAAAUCAGUGAUUGAAUUACUUUCCUGAACCCUUUUUUCAUAAUUUUGAAAGUGUCUUAUGCUUCAAAAGUGAAAACCCUAUUUCUCUUCCUCCUUGCUAUUGGUAGCAGUCUGCUGAUUCUGGCUUACUAAGAUGACAGAAAGAAGUGAUUCCAACCAUUUUCGUUGGUGUUUCUGGCAACUUUUUAAAGCAAGCUAGAGCACAGGCAUAUUUUAAUAAAUGAUUACACUCUAAAUAGAACUCAAUCAAGUAAGACCUUUUUUCUACCCCCUUUGUGUAGACUUGCUAACAGAUGGCCACAGUAUCAAGUAUUGACUUUAAUUACAUUUCAGACUAGAAAAUUGCUCCUGAAUACAAAUUCAAUGCAAGAAUAAUGCAAUCUCUGAGCAGAGCCCUUCUCUUUACCUAAUCAGUAAUAAAAAACUGACUUAAAACUUAACCCAGGCAGGACACAUAUCUGAUUUGUUGCCUUGCAUUCAUGCUAAUUUUAACUGACCUUGUCAUGGAAAAUCCCAUCAUAUCUGUUACUCUGACAUUUCAUUUAUACUCUCCUUUUUUCCCCAAUUCCUAAUUGGGUUUUACAUAAUGUGAAGUUCUGUAUUGGGUUAAGUUGCCUUACAUCUCCUUGCAAAGCAUGUGCAUGUUAAACAGCAUUUCAGGAUCCACAAGUCAGCUCAGGUAAGAUUGGAAGCAGUGCCUGGCUCAGUGUAAGGCACACAAAGUCCUUCCAAACUUUCGAGCUUCUGAAAGAGAACUGUAGGGUGGAAAGGGGGAGAGGGAUGGUGUGCAGGGAUAUAUUGGCAGCAUGUAGAAGUUCCUUCAGAUAGCACAGGUAGGUAACACAUCCCAACUCUGGGCCUGGAGCCAUGGGCCUUCAAUGGCAUUAUACAGUUUCUAUACACUGAAGCCCUUAUUUUUUUUUACCUUUACAUUGAAAGGGUUUUACAUUGAUCUCCAGUGCCCACGCUUUUCAUUUGCAUAACUAUUGCAAAUAGGCUCCUGUUUCAUGUUUAUUCAAGCCACUUGUUCACUCCCUACAUUGCUAUUUAGGCAAUAAAACUACCAAAGUCCUUCCACUUAGGUAGCUGAAAUCUCAGGCAACUUCUGCUAAAGUAUUUUGGUUAAAAUACUGUAGAGGUUUUUUUUUUCCCCUCACUAAUUCAUCAGGCUUUUAAAUUGAAUAGAAGAAAUCUGACUUAGAAUCCAGCCUUAAUAGAAAAAAUCUGACUUAGAAUCCAGCCUUAAUUGUAAAUGUGAGUUGACUGUGUCUCUGGGAGUUUUGGAAAGAUAAAACACAAUUUAGACAAUGACAUGCAGAAAUAUAAUUUAACAUGCCAAGAAAAAGAUACAAGAUUGACUGGUACACCCAGUAAUGAAAGAUGUUAAGCUUAAAUUACCAUCCUAUAAUUUUCUGCUUUGAAUACGUGACUGUGUGCACACGAAGAAAGUAUCUUCCAGGCAAGAGCAUCUGACCUCAUUAAGACAGAACUGUUGUUCCUCAGUUGUCUGUACAUGUUGCAUACAUAAGUGAAUCUGUAGUAAAACCCAUGGUUUUUUAGAGGGCAAAAACUACUGCAGAUAAAGGUGAAAGAAAAUUGGUUUCAAGAGCAGAGUUAUCAAAAUCAUGUGUUCAGAAGCUCACAACCCACAGAAACCAGUUUUUUAUAUUUUUUGGUUGAAUACAUUAGCAAAAUUUAUUCUAAAAUAGACCUUUUCCAACCUUUUCUUCAAGUUAAGAGGGUCUUAAUGUCUAAUCACUUUCUAAUGAGCAUUAUUUUAAUUCUGUCAUUUAAUUCUGUUAUGAAAUCUAGUGCUUUAUCUAUAUAGGCAAAAAUUCUGAAUGCAAAUCCACUUUGAUCAAUGUGUCAGGCAAAAGUAACUUGAGGACAAGUCCUGUUCUGUAAUCUCUGAAUCAGAUCUGCCAAUUAAUGGUCAGCCCACAAUUUUCUCAUGUGAUAUGAGGGGGCAUGCAAGUCAUCACUGCCUUUUUCAGUCAAAAUCCAGAAUUUGCCUUCUUCCUCCCCAAAACAGCUCAUGUCAGCUUGAAUUACACAAGCAUAAUACAAACUCAAAGCCUUACUCCAUGGUAAGCAGGUCAGGUUUAUUUUUCUGCUGUGAGCUUUUUUAAUAAAAAGAUUGGAAUGCUAAUUCAGGUCUUCAGGUCCCUAUUAGUUAAGGGCCUCUGGGCAGUGCUUUCUUGGCCUCUUGAGAGGAGGAGAGAAAAAAGCAAGCAAACAACUUGGCUGCUACAGCAUAGAUCUCAACUAUGCUGAAAUGUUUGGGUUUGCCAGCUCUGAUUGUACAGCUUGUUUGUGCAAGUCACAGCAAAAGCAGUCUCAAGGAAAUAGUACAGUGUUUCAUAGUGUGAUGUUACUGCCUGAUAGCCAUCAAGAGGAGGCACAAAGCAGUGGCAAUGAAAAUGAAACAAUUGGGAGCAGCCAGGAGCAAGCACAUUCUGAAAUUCAGAAAUAGCUGUAAUUCCAAGGUUCUCUUCUGGGAUUAAAAGCAGCUCACAUUUUUGUGGCCUUCUCAAGGGAACUCUUUUCAAUUCUUUCCUAUUGCCAUUACCAAAUCCACAAUGCUCUCUCCAGACUGAUGGUUUUCCUUUGAAAUUUGCUGAAGAUUUAACAAAGACAGUGUCAGGUCAGUUUGCACCCUUCUUUACUCUUUCUGGGCACAGUGGUAUUUUGCAGUUUGCCAGCAUUGUCAGAUGGUUCCUUUGCAGGUACACUCAAACUCCUAAGAGACAAAGCAGGUCCUGGCAGGGCAUUGCCCUCAUGCUAGUUCUUUGGGGUGGUGUAUGUUCUGGCAUCACAUUGCUUCUGACCAAGUAAUUCUCCCUGACUUCUUCAUCAUGACUCUUUCCUUGAGAGACAGCUCAUCAUUCCAUACUGUUCUUUUCUGAUGGGUUUCCUGAGGCUCUGGGGAUAUCUAGGGGAAGAGGAAACUUCCCCAAAUCUGGUUAACUGCAUAAAGCUUUGUAUUGAUUUUGCACCAACGUAUUAUAGUUCAUGUAUAAAAAUCCCUUCUCCCAACUUUGUGUGAUAUUUAGGUACAGUUGUUAGAAUAAUUGUAUCUGGCUUGCUUCAAGUUUCAUCAGGUUUCUUAAAAGAUACAUUUCCUCUAAAAAGAGCAGAGAGACAGAAGGAAGUAACUUCCAAAGAGCAUAUUCCAAAUCCUGGAAGAUUCUUUUAUUCCAUUAAAACCCUUUCAUUAUCCAGAAGAUGGCUACUAAAGACAGUACAUGUUUUUAUAUUUUCUCUUUUACAUGUGGAAGUGAAAGACGGCUUCUACAGCUUUAAAAGAGGGCUACUAUCACGAAUCUGUUUGCCAACACUGUCAGAAGAGUGGCAGGAGCCUGGCCUCGUUCCGAGCUGAGGCUGAAUCACGUUGUGAGCACAGUGUGAGGUGCUGCCAGAGGCAGGAGGCUGGAGCAGAGCUUGUUUUGUAGGGCUGGGCAUUGCUGUGCCCUUGAUGUGGUUUGUACUCUCUUCACAAGGCAGGAGAAUCAAUCUGGAACUUACUGCUCACGAGUUUGUUAUUAGAGCUCCUGUUAUGCAAGCUUCCCUUCUGCAAAGCUCUGCCUGCUUCCAUCCAGCCAGGCUGCCUCUGGAGCACACCUCGCAAGCCUGCCUGCACCCAGGGAGAGGGACGGGAUGAGACACAGGAAAGUGUGGUGGGGGAUCCCUAGAGGAGAGCAAGACAGCUCCAGUGGCCCAGUUCCUGCUGCCCUGCGUGUUCCUUGGCUUGCAGGGACAUAACUUGUCUCAGCUCAGGUGUUUUGCUGGCAUGGUUAAAGACUGCUUAGCCUUCUGCAGUGAAACAAAUCUAUCACCUGUUGCAGCCCUUUUCCUGCUGCUCUAUAAUUUGAUAUCGAGGUUAACAACAUCACAUUCACAUUUCCUCCUUUCAUACAGAUCUUUCCACAGACCUUCCAAAAAGUAUUUGACAGAACCCUCCCCUUGGAUACCCAUACCCAUCACCAUAGGAGAAACCUUGAGACAAGUAGGCUGUGACUGAUGCUGCUCUGAAGGAUCUGAGCAGAAUUCUGCCUUGAACCCAUCUGCAGAGUCACAGGCACUGUCAAGACUUCUCUUGCUGCCAGCUUCUGAUAUCCCUGCUUUAAGACUCUGAUCCAUUAACAUUCAGCACUUGUUCUUGCCUGUUGUUGUUUUCUGUUCCUUCUUUUUGAAACUGGAAGAUAAAACUUUUGGUUCUAAAAAACUUUUUAAGAUUUUUUUUUAAGAUUUUUUUGGUUUUGUUUAGAACUCUUUGUUCUAAACUAAAUCUGAUACUUUUUUUUUUUUUCAUAGAGAGGCUGGAAAUCAAGUAAUAGAAAAAUACUAAGUGGAUAUUACAAUUUUUGUAUAGAUUUCACUAGGAGAGGAUAUAGCAAGUCUCAUGAAGACGGUUCUGAGGAGUUGAUGGUAUUAACUCAUUGUCAGAGGAGGAAAAGUUAAAUAACUUUUAAAGUUAUUUAAAAGCAUUUCUCUUUUGAAAGACAAAAAAGACAACAUCUCUUGUAGCUGAGACCAAGAAAUACAAAUUAGUCAAGAGAACCAUGGGCCUUUAAGCCCACGUGGGAAUUGUGUACCACGCAGAAAACACAGCAUUGCUUCUGUAACAAGAUUUUAUGGUGAGAGAACUAUUGUAUAUGGUUUGCUAUUUGUUCCAGAUCCAUCAUUUGAGAAGCAAAGGGAGUGUGGAGUUUGUGGAGUAGGUGAUUCUGUGCUUGCAGUGAUGGCAAAAACACCGAGUUUGGCCCUAGUAAAGAUAUAAAUGGCAUCAAUGCUAAUAAGCUACAACAUUAUUUAUGAUAUACCUGACAUAGGCACCAAAAAGGUCUGUUACCUUCAUUUUAAAACUUGUACCACUAUAAAAACUCCAAAAGUACAUUAUGAAAUGCCACAUACCUUUCAGCAUUUCACCAACAAAAGCAGCAGCUAUUUUUUAUUGCAGAAUAUAAUAGUAAUAAUGAGCAAAAAAAUCGAAUUAGUCUAAUGUAAGGUAUUUCUAUUAUUAGGGAAUUUGCUUGUUUUGGUUUUAAUCUGAUAAAUCAGAGUACUUCUAUUUUAUGUUGCUGUGUUUUCAGACUGCCUAACUUAAGGCAAAGUAUCAUCCAUAUUCCUUAACAGAUUUGUAUUACUUUGCAAAUCCAGUGAAUCUCAGUGAUUCAAUUUGCUGUAAGGACCAAAUGCAACCAAAAUACCUGAGAAUUUUUCUUUAUUUCAAGCAAAUGGAAUUUGUUCUUCUUCUGCAUACACAUUUCUCUUCUUACUUAUUUGUAAUUAGAAUGAAACACUGUUGUGCUGUUAGUGGACCCCAGAUAGCUUGAAGAGAACACAUUUUUAGCUGUUUACAUUACUUAUAAAUUACUAAACUUCAGCUUCAGAUAAGUGUAAUGUCUAUAUGGUAUCCCUAUUUCUAAUUCUUUAUUUAAAGCUGAAAUGCUGCUCUUAAUUUGGGGGCUCAUUUAGAUCAACAAGCAUGACUUGAUGGCCUCAGUGUGUCACUUUCAAAUUUUUUAAGUGAGCUUUUUUUCUCAAUUGCUGCUAAAUGUAAGGCUGUAUAAAAUUUACCCUUUUCAAUCAGGAUCAUGUAAGCCAAAUUGUUUGGUCCCAGUGCCAUUUCCAUUUCUAACUACAUAUUUGAUUUUAAAAGAAAAAAAAAAUCCCCAAAGGCUCUGAGAUAUAGGAUGGACUGGAUCCAUCCAGUGGGGUACUGGGGAUUGUGCAGCCUUAAACCUCCAGAUGUUGGCAUAUCUGGGAAUCUGUAUCCCUGCUGACUACCUGUAUUAUUGUUAUUUGCACAUCUGGCUUCUGGUCUGUCAUUGAAGUCCAACACCAUAGUCCAUGGUGGAAAAGCAAAAAUUAGUUAAGGCUUGCCAGCCACAUAUUCUAUAUCCAAAAAUCCAGCAAUUGACUGUAAAUACAUAGAAAAGGAAGAGGCUUUCUGAGCCCAUACCCAGAGGAAGUUGUUAAUUUUCUACAGAAAACGAAUCAGUCUGAUUUUGCAGUUCCUUAGUCCACAUGACCAUUCUGUCACUGUUACGAUGCCUCCCCACUUCCUCUGAAAUAUACAUUAGAACAACUCUAAAUUUAUUAUUGCCUCUCUCAUUUAUUUGUCUUGUAAUGUUGGCCUUUACUUUCAGUUUAUCUCUUUUUAUUUAAACCACUGAUGGUUUUUUCAAUCAUGUCAGUUCCUUGCCUUUUUUAUGCCCUUAUUUUAUUUUGCUUUUUAAAGAGCUGUGAUUGUUAAUCAACAUUCAUUAACUUCUUUCCCUGUGUUCUCAUGAUGUAUUCAGUUUCUCACAGGAAAAAUAGCUGGCUGUUCAGAUUUUGGAGACUAGGAAGCUUUUAAAUAUUCAUGGUGAUUAUUUAGCACUUGUGCUGUUUAUCAUACAGAGCCUCACUAUGAUAUAUUUUGUGAAACAUCUCUGCAUGGAAAAGUGGGGUGAUCAUACAAGGAAUACUUAGAUUAAGUAUCUAAGUAU
Non-coding RNA from Sturnus vulgaris (Common starling), 9131 nucleotides. Lineage: Eukaryota; Metazoa; Chordata; Aves; Passeriformes; Sturnidae. The record is from RefSeq and is a predicted model, not a curated record.